RNAcentral lists this ribosomal RNA (497 nucleotides) under uncultured bacterium. RNAcentral's name for it is "partial 16S ribosomal RNA". It matches the Rfam family "Bacterial small subunit ribosomal RNA", at positions 28 to 507 of the family's 1533-position model. The record is from RNAcentral.
GACGAACGCUGGCGGCGUGCCUAAUACAUGCAAGUCGAGCGGACGAAUCGAAAGCUUGCUUCUGAUUCGUUAGCGGCGGACGGGUGAGUAACACGUGGGCAACCUGCCCUGUAGACGGGGAUAACACCGAGAAAUCGGUGCUAAUACCGGAUAACACGAAAUGUCGCAUGACGUUUCGUUGAAAGACGGCGCAAGCUGCCGCUACAGGAUGGGCCCGCGGCGCAUUAGCUAGUUGGUGAGGUAACGGCUCACCAAGGCGACGAUACGUAGCCGACCUGAGAGGGUGAUCGGCCACACUGGGACUGAGACACGGCCCAGACUCCUACGGGAGGCAGCAGUAGGGAAUCUUCCGCAAUGGACGAAAGUCUGACGGAGCAACGCCGCGUGAGCGAAGAAGGCCUUCGGGUCGUAAAGCUCUGUUGUUAGGGAAGAACAAGUAACGCAGUAACUGGCGUUACCGUGACGGUACCGAACGAGAAAGCCACGGCUACUACGUG